This 77-nucleotide non-coding RNA is filed under the name Rhizorhabdus wittichii. Its description in RNAcentral is "Sphingomonas wittichii Fluoride sequence". It matches the Rfam family "Fluoride riboswitch aptamer (crcB RNA motif)". The record is from RNAcentral. Lineage: Bacteria; Pseudomonadati; Pseudomonadota; Alphaproteobacteria; Sphingomonadales; Rhizorhabdaceae.
CCGGCCCACGGCAAUGGAUUCCUGCCGGGCCUUCGCGCCGAACCGCCCUCGCAAGGGACGAUGAUUCCUACCGAUCG